RNAcentral lists this long non-coding RNA (1905 nucleotides) under Homo sapiens (human). RNAcentral describes it as "HSALNT0353765". The record is from RNAcentral. Lineage: Eukaryota; Metazoa; Chordata; Mammalia; Primates; Hominidae.
GGGCAGAUCACCUGAGGUCGGGAGUUCAAGACCAGCCUGACCAACAUGGAGAAACCCCAUCUCUACGAAUACAAAAUUGGCCAGGCAUGGUGGCACAUGCCUGUAAUCCCAACUACUCAGGAAGCUGAGGCAGCAGAAUCACUUGAACCCGGGAGGCGGAGGCUGCAGUGAGAGGAGAUCACGCCACUGCACUUCAAGGUAGGAGCGAGACUCCAUCUCAAAAAAAAAAAGGAAAAGUAAAGAAGGUCAUUCAUAACUAUUCAUAACUGCUUUUGUGAGAGUGUGUAGGUGUGAGUGUUUAUAUUUGGAGGAUAUGAGGUGUAAUAUGUGUAUACAAGAAGAAUUGGGGUUCGAUAUUUGUGAUUUGGGUUGUGAAGAUGUAUUUUCCAUAAGUUUUCUGAAAUGAAUGUUGGGGAUUUGUAUUUGUCUAAUGUUUGGCAGAUCUGGAAGAAUUACCUUGUUGUGCAUGUGGGCAAUAAUAGAGAAAGUGCUUGUGUCUAUUUUUGUGGAUGUACACUGUGGUUUACAUAUUUGGGGAAUGUAGGAAGACCAUUUGUGUGCUUAGGAUAUGUUGCAUCAUUGUGUGUGUUUCUUUUCACGAUUUUCAGGGGUUGUGUAUGGCCAUUUCAAUGUGUGAGGGCAGAUCCAUGACUAUUGGGGGACUGGUAGAAUGAAUGUGUGCAGUUGUGAGGUGGACUUUGUAUGAUUCUGUGUCUUGGAAAAUGGAGGAGUUAUUUCUGUGUGAGCAUUUAGAGGUGUGAUUACAUAUGUGCAGGUAUUGUGGGACUGGAUGUGUAUUUGGGGAUAUGAGGUGGCAUGUUUGCAUAUUUGUGGCGUGUUAGUUAAUCGCAGGUAUAUUUAGGGCAUGUAGGGAACUCCAUGAGUAUUGAGUGUGUGUGUGUGUUCAAGGGCAUGGCAGUUUGGAUGAAUGUUUUGUGGAGCUAUGUGCUUGUAUUUUUCAGUGAGUGGUUAUUAGGGUUAUAUAUUCUGGGAAUGUAGUAUAUGUGUCUCUGAUAGAGAGAUGGGGUUCUGUGUUUAUACAGGAGAGUGAGAGAAUUGAAUUUAUAUGUAUUAGAGGUAUGUGAUAUGGUUAUUGGUUAGUACUUGGCGAUGUGAGAGACACUCCCCUCGUUUACAAAGCAGUGCCCAGCUGGUUUGUGCGAGUGGAGAAUAUGGUGGACCGGUUCCUAAGGAACAGUGACCUGUGCUACCGGUGAGCAGUAAGAUGUGUUUCUUCGUAAUGUCUUUUGUCAUGUGGUUAGUGUGGUUUACACUUCCCCCAAGUUAUAAUUUUUUUUUUUUUUGAGACGGAGUCUCGCUCUGUCGCCCAGGCUGGAGUGCAGUGGCGUGAUCUCGGCUCACUGCAAACUCCGCCUCCCGGGUUCACGCCAUUCUCCUGCCUCAGCCUCCCGAGUAGCUGGGACUACAGGCACCUGCCACCAGGCCCGGCUAUUUUUUUGGAUUUUUUUAGUAGAGACGAGGUUUCACCGUGUUAUCCAGGAUGGUCUCGAUCUCCUGACCUCGUGAUCUGCCUGCCUCGGCCUCCCAAAGUGCUGGGAUUACAGGCGUGAGCCACCGUGCCUGGCCUUCUUUAGAUAAUUUGAACCAGUUUAUAACAAAAAUUUUAAAAUAGACUACAACUAAGUAGAAGACAGACCACGACAUAGAAAGUAGAAUGAAGUUAAAAUUCUGGGCUAAUACAAUUAUGCUGGCUAAACAUCAUUAGAAGCAACAAGGUAUAACAGAGAAUGUAGAUUUUGAAGUCAAACACAUUUGUUCACCCCUUCCUUACUGUAUAAUGUUGAGGAGUUGCUUAAUUUCUGAGAUGUAACAUCCUCCUCCACAAAAUGAUGUAACAAUUAUGUUGUAGAGUGUUGUGAGAAUUAAAUAAAAUGACAUUAUGUG